This 253-nucleotide ribosomal RNA is filed under the name uncultured bacterium. RNAcentral's name for it is "partial 16S ribosomal RNA". It matches the Rfam family "Bacterial small subunit ribosomal RNA", at positions 524 to 776 of the family's 1533-position model. The record is from RNAcentral.
UACAGAGGGUGCAAGCGUUGUUCGGAAUCAUUGGGCGUAAAGCGCGUGUAGGCGGUCCGGUAAGUCCGCUGUGAAAGUCGGGGGCUCAACCCUCGGAUGCCGGUGGAUACUGUCGGGCUCGAGUACGGAAGAGGCGAGUGGAAUUCCUGGUGUAGCGGUGAAAUGCGCAGAUAUCAGGAGGAACACCAAUUGCGAAGGCAGCUCGCUGGGACGUUACUGACGCUGAGACGCGAAAGCGUGGGGAGCAAACAGG